UGGGGAAUUUUGGACAAUGGGGGCAACCCUGAUCCAGCCAUGCCGCGUGAGUGAAGAAGGCCUUCGGGUUGUAAAGCUCUUUCGGCCGGGAAGAAAUCGCGCCAGCUAAUACCUGGUGUGGAUGACGGUACCGGAAGAAGAAGCACCGGCUAACUACGUGCCAGCAGCCGCGGUAAUACGUAGGGUGCGAGCGUUAAUCGGAAUUACUGGGCGUAAAGCGUGCGCUAGGCGGUUUUGUAAGACAGGUGUGAAAUCCCCGGGCUUAACCUGGGAACUGCGCUUGUGACUGCAAGACUUGAGUGCGGCAGAGGGGGAUGGAAUUCCAGUGUAGCAGUGAAAUGCGUAGAGAUGUGAGGAACACCGAUGGCGAAGGCAGCCCCCUGGGUCGACACGUGACGCUCA
This 402-nucleotide ribosomal RNA is filed under the name uncultured bacterium. RNAcentral describes it as "bacterial SSU rRNA". It matches the Rfam family "Bacterial small subunit ribosomal RNA", at positions 355 to 749 of the family's 1533-position model. The record is from RNAcentral.